Rhinichthys klamathensis goyatoka is the source of this 2941-nucleotide RNA transcript. It is a transcript of the gene named Ras association domain family member 8b, with no coding region annotated. The transcript is spliced from 6 exons. The record is from RefSeq and is a predicted model, not a curated record. Lineage: Eukaryota; Metazoa; Chordata; Actinopteri; Cypriniformes; Leuciscidae.
UGCUGCUGCUGCUGAUGUAACGGGCCACACUGGCUGAACUUCAGCGAGCGGACCGUCCGAACGGAUCUGAACCGGACCGCAUUUACUGACAUCAAAUGAAGAGAGUGUUUACGAUACAUUGAAGGAAAAGCUAGAUAAUCUGAUUAAAUCUCGGUUCUGAUUUGGGGAAGCGAAGCGGACCCGGACUGAGGAUUUUGGCUGCCCGGGACUGCAGACACACGCAGUGAUAAGAGCAGCAUGCAGACCAGAGAGCUUGUAACGGGUGUCUGCAGAAGUGAGGAAUGACAUCAUCCAGAUGAGAGGCAUGGAGCUGAAGGUGUGGGUGGAUGGAGUGCAGCGCAUCGUCUGUGGUGUCACCGAGGUCACCACAUGUCAAGAGGUUGUGAUCGCUUUGGCCCAAGCAAUAGGGCGGACUGGUCGCUAUACGCUGAUUGAAAAAUGGCGUGAGACAGAGAGGCACCUGGCACCCCAUGAGAAUCCUGUGGUUUCUCUGAAUAAGUGGGGUCAGUACGCUAGUGAUGUGCAGUUGGUGCUUCAACGUACAGGCCCUUCUCUGAGCGAGCGCCCCACCUCGGACACCUCUCCGAGAGCCCCUGAGCGCAGCCUAUAUCGCCAAAGUCUUCCUCCCAUGGCAAAGCUCCGGCCCACAGCCAACGAUCGUUCCCUAAAACGCCGUGAACCAAAACGCAAGUCCCUCACUUUCACAGGUGGUGCUAAGGGGUUGCGUGACAUCUUCGGGAAGAGUCGUGAGGGUGAGACCAAGCAAAGAACGGUGAACACAAUCCGCAGCAGCACACCGGCACCUACGCAGGAGCUGUCCCUUCUGGUGCAGUUGCAGAAAGAUAAACUGCGCGUCCUAGAGCAGAAACUGCAACGCUGUGAAACUGAGUUGCAGCAGCAAUUGACGGAGGAAGAAGAAGAGGAGCUAGUCGAACUAGAGCAGCAGGUCCGCAGGAAUGAGGCGGAGAUGAAGGAGCAUGAAUUCUGGGAGAAUGAGCUGCAGAUUGAGCAGGACAACGAGAGGCAACUGCGUGCGCAGCUGCAGGAACUGCGUAGCCGUGUACAAGAGUGCGAGGAGCAGCUGGGAGAGUACCUGGCUCGUAUUCAGUGCAUGGAGGCAGGGCUGGAGGCAGAGCGCUUACAACAAGAGCUGAUGGAAACGCGAAUAGCAGAUGAAAUUGAGGUACAGUCGCGACUGGACAAGGCCCGUGCCGAGCUGGACGUGCAGGUGCAGCAGGCUGCAAGACUGGAGAGCAACUGCAGAGCUGUGGAGCUCUCGCUUGGGCAGUCAAACAUUAGGCUACAGGAGAGAGAGCAGGAGCUGGAACAAUUAACUAAGGAGCUAAGGCAGGUAAACCUUCAACAGUUUAUUCAACAGACUGGCACCAAAGUAACAGUUCUACCAGCAGACCCUGGUGAGGAGGAAGAUAACACAGAGUCAGAAAAUCAGUCUGGAUCUCUGAAGCGGCUUGGAUCAGCCCGACAACUUCCCGCUGACCUACGAGUUCUGCAGAGCCCCCUGAACACGACCUUUAACCCGGAAGGCAUCUAUGUCUGAUUUUGCACCGGCAUCAACAUCUAAAUGCAGUCAAUUUCCCACAUGACUCCACAUCACUCCGAGACCAUGAUUCAGAGUCUUCGGCGAGAUCACACUCCUAGGAAAUAUAGAGGUAUCUCAUGUUCACGGUGAAGAUUCCUUCCUCUUGAUGGCUGUUUGACUAAUCCAACCCAAUCAGUGCUUUCUCCAAAUCCUACAAAGACAACUCCAGCUGAAUGUAUGCUCACUUUCACUGGACCCAAAACGCAGUAAGGCUUUUAACAUGUAUUGAACAAGGCAACUACUAAACUCAUACAGAAAAAAAGGACAGAAUACAUGCUGCCUCAGCCUAAGUUCAAUCCAUUGACCUUUUGGUGCAAGUUAGAAAAUGCAGCAUCAUGAUGUCUUUCAUUUCUAGAAUGUUUCUCAAUCUCCAGGUAAACCUCACACUCAAUGCGAUAUGCAAGCAGCAGGAUUUUAGGGAGAUGCAAAGAGAUCGUGGAGGAUGAUAAAUUAUGCAGUUUAUGUUUUAUGGCUCAUAGUCGUGAUGAAAGCUCAUAGAAGUGAUGAAAGCUCAUAGAAAGGGGUGGGGUUUCGCCUUAGUUUGCACUUUAUUGGCCAAAACAUCUGCUGUGGAAUUUCACAGAAAUCUUAAAAGCUGAAGAAUAAUUUUCUGCGUUUGAUCGCACUAAUCAGGAAAACAGGUGCAUGCGAUAUUUUAAAGUGUGAAAGUGACGAAGAGAGGUGUUUUUGCAUGAAAGCAGCUUGUGACAAGUGAACUUUGUUACCUUUUAAAAUGAAGCAACCUGAUUUUGUGCUGAACUGCUUAGUUUAAAAAGUAGCCUUUUAAAUAAUGCAAGUACAGAACAAUGUAGUUACACACAAGUCAUUCUAAUGACUGGUCUAGAUCAAUGUGUUCUGUCAGUAAACCUUUUUGGCCAAUGAAUGCAUUUUAUUUCUGUUUAUUUCUGCAAGUUACUUUUUUUUAUUUACCUGAUCUCACUAAAAUGCUAUCCACAUACUAGCAAAGAUCACACUAGUUGCAUAUAUUUUAAACUAAACUGUUUUACUAGUUUUCAGAACUAUAUUUUAUUUCAGAUUAAACCAAAGUGUUCUGGAAGUCAUGAAUGUAGAGAUUUGUAAUUGUGCAAAGGGAUGCAGCUCCAAAAUAUUUUGUUGAUGACAUUUUUUUUUUUGUGAAUGUUUUAACUGUAGUAGCACCUGCUUCCCUUAAAAACACAUUCACAGAGAUGCAGAAUGACUCAAUUUAUUUUUAAAUUUAGCAAGGAGCUCUUGAUGGUGUGAAUAAGGAAUUGCUCAUUUAGAUUUGCUGCAGUUGCUUCUGGAUUUGUUUGGAUAUUUUUGUAAACUAAUUGAACUGAUUUUAUUUUUUUAUUUUUUUUC